GGGAACGUAUUCACCGCAGCGUUGCUGAUCUGCGAUUACUAGCGACUCCGACUUCAUGAGGUCGAGUUGCAGACCUCAAUCCGAACUGGGACCGGCUUUUUGGGAUUCGCUCCACCUUACGGUAUCGCAGCCCUUUGUACCGGCCAUUGUAGCAUGCGUGAAGCCCAAGACAUAAGGGGCAUGAUGAUUUGACGUCAUCCCCACCUUCCUCCGAGUUGACCCCGGCAGUAUCCCAUGAGUUCCCACCAUUACGUGCUGGCAACAUAGAACGAGGGUUGCGCUCGUUGCGGGACUUAACCCAACAUCUCACGACACGAGCUGACGACAACCAUGCACCACCUGUUCACGAGUGUCCAAAGAGUUGACCAUUUCUGGCCCGUUCUCGUGUAUGUCAAGCCUU
RNAcentral lists this ribosomal RNA (400 nucleotides) under uncultured Microbacterium sp. RNAcentral describes it as "partial 16S ribosomal RNA". Lineage: Bacteria; Bacillati; Actinomycetota; Actinomycetes; Micrococcales; Microbacteriaceae. The record is from RNAcentral.